GACGAACCGUGCGAACGUUGUUCGGAAUCACUGGGCGUAAAGGGCGCGUAGGCGGGCGAGCGAGUCCGGGGUGAAACCUUCCGGCCCAACCGGAAACCGGCCUGGGAUACCGCUCGCCUCGAGGGGGGUAGGGGCACGCGGAACUUCCGGUGGAGCGGUGAAAUGCGUUGAUAUCGGAAGGAACGCCGGUGGCGAAAGCGGCGUGCUGGGCCCCUCCUGACGCUGAGGCGCGAAAGCCAGGGGAG
This 245-nucleotide ribosomal RNA is filed under the name uncultured bacterium. RNAcentral describes it as "partial 16S ribosomal RNA". It matches the Rfam family "Bacterial small subunit ribosomal RNA", at positions 524 to 768 of the family's 1533-position model. The record is from RNAcentral.